GACAGAGGGUGCAAACGUUGCUCGGAAUCACUGGGCUUAAAGGGCGCGUAGGCGGGCUGUCAAGUCUGGGGUGAAAUCCCGCGGCUCAACCGCGGAACUGCCUCAGAUACUGACGGUCUCGAGGGGGGAUAGGGGCGAGCGGAACUGUGAGUGGAGCGGUGAAAUGCGUUGAUAUUCACAGGAACUCCGGUGGCGAAGGCGGCUCGCUGG
RNAcentral lists this ribosomal RNA (210 nucleotides) under uncultured bacterium. RNAcentral describes it as "partial 16S ribosomal RNA". It matches the Rfam family "Bacterial small subunit ribosomal RNA", at positions 524 to 732 of the family's 1533-position model. The record is from RNAcentral.